RNAcentral lists this long non-coding RNA (3758 nucleotides) under Capsicum annuum. RNAcentral describes it as "long non-coding RNA (CANN_LNC009405)". The record is from RNAcentral. Lineage: Eukaryota; Viridiplantae; Streptophyta; Magnoliopsida; Solanales; Solanaceae.
UGACUAUAUGUCUCGAGUUCCAUACUCUAGUGCUGUCGGGUCUCUUAUCUAUGCGAUGGUGUGUUCACAACCAGAUUUAUCUUAUGUCGUCAGUACAAUUAGUAGAUACAUGGAAAAUCCUAGCAAAGAACAUUGGAAAGCAGUUCAGUGGAUUUUCAGAUACUUGCAUGGAUUUUAAAAAAUCUAUAAUAUAUUAUCGUGAAAAAUGAGGCCCCUUAAAUUUGGGGGCCUAAGGCGACCGCCUAUUUUUUUCUAAGGUAGAGCCGUCCCUGAUUACUACUAUCUUUUGUGACAUUCAGAGUGCUAUCUUCCUUAUAAAAAUUAGAUAUUUCACUAGAUUACAAAGCACAUCAAUGGUCAGUAUCACUUUGUGCGUGAAAUUGUUGCUCAUGGUGAUAUUGUGGUGAAUAAGAUUAGUAUUCAUGAUAAUCCUGCUGAUAUGAUGACCAAGACACUACUAAGUGCCAAGUUUGAGCAUUUCUUGGACUUGGUUAGUGUUAAAUGUUAAGAUGUGCCCUUAGGGGCUUUUGUGGAAGAGUUGGAGAGUUAAUCUUGAAAUGGAUUUGAGUUCUAAAUUAGAAUUCGUGUCAAGUUGGAGAUUGUUAGAGUUGUGACCCGAAUUUUGUUGAUCCGGCCCAGAAAGUUUCAUGGUGCGAUCCAUGUUUGUGAUGUGAUUUACUGGGUUUUUUGGGUAUCUAGAAAGUAUUCAUUCUCCACAUUGUACUCCUCUCCUUUCAUUAUAGUGAAACAUCCUCUACCUCUGCCCGUGGUUUUUUCCACAAGGGUUUUCACAUAAAUCUGUGUGUUUUUAUUUUCUUUCUGCUUGUGGUUUGCUUUAUUUCUGCCUGAUUCCUAACACUGUCCAUUCGAAAUAGUGACUUUUCCGAACAACCACAACCAUCCAAAAAAUAAUACUUUUUCUCAAAAUAGUGUAUUAUUUCCUCGAAGGGUUGCAUCCCUUUCGAGGCAGCAUUUCUCAUUUCUGCAGUUGUAUCUGCACCGCAUGCAUGCACGUUAAUGGGGGAACAAAAAAAUGGUGUGUUUUUCCUUUGGAAUCUUAGAUCACUUGAUUUUCCAAAAAAAACUGGAAAGUGAUUCAUAUAUACUGUAGAACAAUUUCAUAGAAAGAGAGAGAAAGUUUAUGGGUUAUUUAUUUUAGCUAGAAAUGUUAAAUAUUGUUAUUUGAUGUCAAAUUGAAUCAUAAAUUGUUACAUUGUGUCAAUUUACCAUUAUUUUAUGUAAAAAUUAUUUUGUAUGUACUUUUUAAAUUAUUUAUUGUAAACUGUAGAUAUAUUUUUUUUAUAUUUGUUGAAUUAAGUUUUUAAUUGUAAGCCAUAGCAGUUUUUUAAAAAAUAUUAUAAAAAAAUUCUAUUAUAUAUAUAUAUAUAUAUACAUGAAUAAACAUAAAUAUAUAUAUAUAUAUAUAUAUAUAUAUAUAUAUUAUAUCUGUUAAAAUCUCUCUUAAAUAUUUGAAUUUACCUUUCUCCCUCAUCUAUUUUCUUAAAUAAAGGAUUGAUAAUAAAUUCUUAAUUUUCUCCUUACUGUUUUAUACUUUUUUUAACUCAAAUCCUCCACCUAACAAAGUAAAAUGAAAAAAAAAAUACGGUAAAAGGAUUAUAAGAAAUCCUAAAUUUCUCCUUCUUUCAUUUUCUUAAAUAUUUUUUUUAUAUUAGUUAAUCCUUUCAAAAAAUUUAAUAAUGUUGUCUUUUCAUAAAUUUCUCUCAUAUGUGUUUCUUAGUUCUUUCAUACUUUAUUUUCAUUGAUAUUAAUAAUUACUUUAAAUUGCUUUCAUUGCAUACACUUUGAUCAGAUUGUUGAAAUCCAUAUUUUAUUCUUAAUUUUUUCAUACACUAAUAUUUAUUUUUUCCUUAUUUUCUUGCAAUAUAAAUUUUAUCCAUGAUUCAAAUUUUAUACGUUAGUCAACGUGAAUUUCAUAUUUUCAUUCUUGAUUUUUUAAAUUCUUUUUGUAGGAAAUAACAAAUUCAAUGAAUAAUUUUUCUUACACAGUUGAUACAAAAUUGUUAUUUGAAGUUUUAUGAAAAUUGUCACACCCCUUUUUUAACUCCAAAAAGAUUCAUUUUAUGCUUUGAAGGGGUUUUUAUUAGUAAGUGACAAAAAUAAAGAUUUGUUCUAAAAAAGGAUUAUUUUUACAUUCAAAACUCAGAUUCGCCACUUGACAUAAUUCGGUGUGCCAAGUAACCGUUGGAAAAUCCUUUUCAAAAUGAUUUGACUCUUUAAAAUGAUCCGCGAAUAGAGAUUCCGGCUAAGAAAUUCUGUUGACCGAGGGGAAGGUGUUAGGCACCCCUCGAUCCCGUGGUUGUCGCUUGGUGGAGCGUAUCAGCUAAUUCUGAUACUACGAAUGUAUAAACCACAUAACACGCAACAAUCAAGCAAACAAACACAAACCAAAUCAAAAUCCAAGAUAUAAUGUUCAGUCCAACUAUAUAGUCCAAAGUAAAAAAUGCAAAAAAUAUAAAUCCUAUUCUAACCUAUACUAAAGUAUGCUCCGACGUUUUACCCGCUGCCUUGGGACUUCAUCACGAACAUCCUCCGGAUACAAAAAUACCUCGGGGCAUUCACCCAAUAAAAUAAUACAAGUACUUUGGGGCAUCCCCGGCCAAAUGAUACAAGUGAUCCCAAAGCAAUAUAGUAAAAAACCAUUCAAUCAUACCACUCAAGUAUUCCAUCAAUCCACAAUCGCUAAAUUCGCCUACCCGAUCUAUGUUUACAUAUUUGAGCUCGAUCACAUUCAUGUUUAUCCCAAUUGAACAAAACAAAAACCGACCAAAAUUUAACUACGCAACUUUUAUCAACUUUUGAUUCCACCCCAAAUCCAUUUUUAACCACAUGAUUUGCGCAUUCUUCAAUUAUUCAAUCACAUCUCAAAAUUCGAAACCAACAUCAAAUACAAACAACUAACGAAGAUUCGAACUAAACACACAACACAUAAAUCACCCACACCCACAACAUCAAUAAAAAAUCAAGAUAAAGUAAAGAUCAGGAGAAGAAAUGGACCUCAAUGAAACUUGUCCUUGUUGAUAAUAAAGAAAUUCGAAAUCAAAAUUCCCAAACCGGAACCUCAACAUGAAUCUCCAAAUCAAAUUCCGACUUCGAGGUUGACAGCGAUGGACCGGUUGAGACAAACAGAGUUCCAAUCCACGAAUAUUGACCACUUAAUCGUGAAGAACCCAAAAUCCAAUAUCCAAAAUGAACUGCGAGAAUAGACUAACCCAAAACCCAGUCAACACGAUAGAAGAUAAAUAUUCGUGUAGCCUGAGCUCUGGUGAGCUCAAGCGGUGGAAAAAAAAAAUGAUGAGUCAAGAUAGAUUCUGGCGAGUCCCAACGUUUUCUGGCCGGGUUUACCCGUUUACGAUCACUUCCCCCUUUCUGCUAUCUCCCUCGCAUCUCUUUUCUCUACCUAACACUCUCUCGAUUUGGCUUUUCUGAUCUUUCUCCCUCUCUGUUCCAAUCUCUCCCUAAAAAUGGAAAAUUCGGCCCUUUCCUUUCUCUGGUUUGUGCAUGUAUGUAUGUUACUGUGUGUGUGCAUCUACCCCCUCUUAAGAAACCAUGGAAAAAUUGAGGUGAGGGUCAUGCUUUUUGUGGUAAGGUUGAGUGGUGUUUUACGUACCAAUUCCAAUAAAUGGUGUGUUCCUUCAGAUGAUGAAGAAGAGGCAACCCCCCAAAAAAAAUAAAAAAAAAUCCCCCUUGUGUUCUCGUUAAUGAAGAAGUAUGUGUACAAGAGAAUGGCUAUGAUGAUG